This 503-nucleotide ribosomal RNA is filed under the name uncultured bacterium. RNAcentral describes it as "partial 16S ribosomal RNA". It matches the Rfam family "Bacterial small subunit ribosomal RNA", at positions 30 to 523 of the family's 1533-position model. The record is from RNAcentral.
AUUGAACGCUGGCGGCAGGCUUAACACAUGCAAGUCGAGCGGAGUGAUGGUGCUUGCACUAUCACUUAGCGGCGGACGGGUGAGUAAUGCUUAGGAAUCUGCCUAUUAGUGGGGGACAACAUCUCGAAAGGGAUGCUAAUACCGCAUACGUCCUACGGGAGAAAGCAGGGGAUCACUUGUGACCUUGCGCUAAUAGAUGAGCCUAAAUCGGAUUAGCUAGUUGGUGGGGUAAAGGCCUACCAAGGCGACGAUCUGUAGCGGGUCUGAGAGGAUGAUCCGCCACACUGGGACUGAGACAAGGCCCAGACGCCUACGGGAGGCAGCAGUGGGGAAUAUUGGACAAUGGGGGGAACCCUGAUCCAGCCAUGCCGCGUGUGUGAAGAAGGCCUUAUGGUUGUAAAGCACUUUAAGCGAGGAGGAGGCUCUUUUGGCUAAUACCCAAGAUGAGUGGACGUUACUCGCAGAAUAAGCACCGGCUAACUCUGUGCCAGCCGCCGCCGUAA